RNAcentral lists this ribosomal RNA (236 nucleotides) under uncultured bacterium. RNAcentral describes it as "partial 16S ribosomal RNA". It matches the Rfam family "Bacterial small subunit ribosomal RNA", at positions 100 to 334 of the family's 1533-position model. The record is from RNAcentral.
CCGGCACGGGUGAGUAACACGUAUCCAACCUGCCGUCUACUCUUGGACAGCCUUCUGAAAGGAAGAUUAAUACAAGAUGGCAUCAUGAGUCCGCAUGUUCACAUGAUUAAAGGUAUUCCGGUAGACGAUGGGGAUGCGUUCCAUUAGAUAGUAGGCGGGGUAACGGCCCACCUAGUCUUCGAUGGAUAGGGGUUCUGAGAGGAAGGUCCCCACAUUGGAACUGAGACACGGUCCAA